This 386-nucleotide ribosomal RNA is filed under the name uncultured bacterium. RNAcentral describes it as "bacterial SSU rRNA". It matches the Rfam family "Bacterial small subunit ribosomal RNA", at positions 28 to 418 of the family's 1533-position model. The record is from RNAcentral.
GACGAACGCUGGCGGCGUGCUUAACACAUGCAAGUCGAGCGGUAAGGCCCUUUCGGGGGUACACGAGCGGCGAACGGGUGAGUAACACGUGGGUGACCUGCCCUCAGCUCUGGGAUAAGCCCGGGAAACUGGGUCUAAUACCGGAUAUGACUCCAUGACGCAUGUUGUGGGGUGGAAAGCCUUGUGCGGCUGAGGAUGGGCCCGCGGCCUAUCAGCUUGUUGGUGGGGUGAUGGCCUACCAAGGCGACGACGGGUAGCCGGCCUGAGAGGCGACCGGCCACACUGGGACUGAGACACGGCCCAGACUCCUACGGGAGCAGCAGUGGGGAAUCUUGCGCAAUGGGCAAAGCCUGACGCAGCGACGCCGCGUGAGGGAUGAACGGCCU